This is a long non-coding RNA of Poeciliopsis prolifica (blackstripe livebearer), 234 nucleotides long. RefSeq lists it as uncharacterized. Lineage: Eukaryota; Metazoa; Chordata; Actinopteri; Cyprinodontiformes; Poeciliidae. The transcript has 2 exons. The record is from RefSeq and is a predicted model, not a curated record.
CUUCACUGAUAACUUCACUGAAACGGAUCUUCCACGAGCUGAAAAGACUUUAAGGGGCUGCAGAAGAAGAGAAGAGCAGAUCCAGUACUGAUCGACGUUUAGAUGUUGUGUUCAGAAUGAUACUAUUAACUAACAACAAAUAAUGUAGCUUAUUACCACGUUGUUGCAUAAAAGCCUAAAGAUAAAAUGUACACUUUCAACCGUUGUUAUUUAUAAAGCAACAAUUUUACCGGU